GCCUCGGUGGCUCAGUCGGUAGCGUGUUCGCCUUCUGAUCCCGAGAUCGCUGGUUCGAACCCGGCCGAGGACGCCAGCAACUUGGUGGCAGGGUACAAGUUGCUUAGACACGCCGUCUUCCGCGAGGGACGUUGAAAUACGGGGUGCGGUGUGAUGAGCUUUCAUCGCACGUUGAAGAACCCUCAGCACCCCACAGUUCCUGCAAUUGAUGUCACCAUCGCACAGCCGGAACAGCUUCAGCUAUCACAGCCGAGGUUUCAGUACUGCAAGGGCAUGAUAAGCAUCUAGAAUCUGGUUUUGUACAGGAAUGUCAAGUCAAGAUGCCAUGAAGAGGAGAAAAAGGAAAGUGACUGAAUUUUAACACUUUUCCAACGCACAGUGACUGGUAUUCUCUGUCGAUCUUUCGCUUUGUUGUACGGUGCGCAAAAUCAAAAAACGAAUUAAAAAGCA
Molecule: long non-coding RNA, 450 nt
Organism: Ornithodoros turicata
Lineage: Eukaryota; Metazoa; Arthropoda; Arachnida; Ixodida; Argasidae
Exons: 3
Source: RefSeq, a predicted model, not a curated record